Molecule: ribosomal RNA, 254 nt
Filed under: uncultured bacterium
Lineage: Bacteria
Description: partial 16S ribosomal RNA
Rfam family: Bacterial small subunit ribosomal RNA
Source: RNAcentral
UACGGAGGGGGCAAGCGUUGUUCGGAUUUACUGGGCGUAAAGGGAGCGUAGGCGGCUCGUCAAGUCCGGUGUGAAAUCUUUACCGCUCACCGGAAAGAGGUCAUCGGAAACUGGCGGGCUAGAGCAAGGUAGAGGCAAGCGGAAUUCCUGGUGUAGCGGUGGAAUGUGUAGAUAUCAGGAAGAACAUCGGUGGCGAAGGCGGCUUGCUGGGCUUUUGCUGACGCUGAGGCUCGAAAGCGUGGGUAGCAAACGGG